AUCAAAAUCCCGAGUGAUGACCACUACACUAUAGCACC
RNAcentral lists this transfer RNA (38 nucleotides) under Moniliophthora perniciosa FA553. RNAcentral's name for it is "tRNA-Gln". The record is from RNAcentral. Lineage: Eukaryota; Fungi; Basidiomycota; Agaricomycetes; Agaricales; Marasmiaceae.